RNAcentral lists this ribosomal RNA (325 nucleotides) under uncultured eukaryote. RNAcentral describes it as "partial 18S ribosomal RNA". It matches the Rfam family "Eukaryotic small subunit ribosomal RNA", at positions 1470 to 1796 of the family's 1831-position model. The record is from RNAcentral.
CCCUUAGAUGUUCUGGGCCGCACGCGCGCUACACUGAUGCAUUCAACAAGUUUUACCUUGGCCGAGAGGCCUGGGAAAUCUUUCAAAUAUGUAUCGUGAUAGGGAUAGAUUAUUGCAAUUAUUAAUCUUGAACGAGGAAUUCCUAGUAAAUGCAGAUCAUCAUUCUGCGUUGAUUACGUCCCUGCCCCUUGUACACACCGCCCGUCGCACCUACCGAUUGAAUGAUCCGGUGAAGCCUCGGGAUUGUGCCCAGAGAACUUUAUUGUGAUUUGGGUGUGAGAACUUGUCUAAACCUUAUCAUUUAGAGGAAGGUGAAGUCGUAACA